Molecule: ribosomal RNA, 442 nt
Filed under: uncultured bacterium
Lineage: Bacteria
Description: bacterial SSU rRNA
Rfam family: Bacterial small subunit ribosomal RNA
Source: RNAcentral
UGAGGAAUAUUGCUCAAUGGACGAAAGUCUGAAGCAGCAACGCCGCGUGAGGGAUGAAGGUGCUCUGCAUUGUAAACCUCUGUAGUUGGGGACAAACUUCGAGUUACUACUCGAUUGAUGGUACCCAAAAAGUAAGGAUCGGCUAACUACGUGCCAGCAGCCGCGGUAAUACGUAGGAUCCAAGCGUUGUCCGGAUUUACUGGGUGUAAAGGGUGCGCAGGCGGACUGUUAAGUCAGAGGUGAAAUCUCACAGCUCAACUGUGAAACUGCCUUUGAUACUGACAGUCUUGAAUUAGCGAGAGAUUCGUGGAAUUCCGAGUGUAGCAGUGAAAUGUGUAGAUAUUCGGAAGAACACCAGUGGCGAAGGCAGCGAAUUGGCGCUAUAUUGACGCUCAGGCACGAAAGCAUGGGGAUCAAACAGGAUUAGAUACCCCCGUAGUCC